Molecule: ribosomal RNA, 402 nt
Filed under: uncultured bacterium
Lineage: Bacteria
Description: bacterial SSU rRNA
Rfam family: Bacterial small subunit ribosomal RNA
Source: RNAcentral
UGGGGAAUCUUGCACAAUGGGGGCAACCCUGAUGCAGCGACGCCGCGUGAGCGAUGAAGCCCUUCGGGGCGUAAAGCUCUUUCGGCCGGAACGAUAAUGACGGUACCGGGAGAAGAAGCUGCGGCUAACUACGUGCCAGCAGCCGCGGUAAUACGUAGGCAGCAAGCGUUGUUCGGAGGUACUGGGCGUAAAGAGUGCGUAGGCGGUUUUCUAAGUUCGGUGUGAAAUCUCCCAGCUUAACUGGGAGGGUGCGCCGAAGACUGGGAAGCUGGAGUGUGGGAAAGGCAGGCGGAAUUCCUGGUGUAGCGGUGAAAUGCGUAGAUAUCAGGAGGAACACCGGCGGUGUAGACGGCUUGCUAGACCAUAACUGACGCUGAGGCACGAAAGCGUGGGUAGCAAACA